AGAAAGUUAGUCUAACCAAGACAGUUGAUUUCGACUCAACAGAUUAUAGCCCCCAACCUAUAACUUUCUU
RNAcentral lists this transfer RNA (70 nucleotides) under Rhamphocharis crassirostris piperata. Its description in RNAcentral is "tRNA-Arg". The record is from RNAcentral. Lineage: Eukaryota; Metazoa; Chordata; Aves; Passeriformes; Melanocharitidae.